This is a long non-coding RNA of Oreochromis aureus, 1932 nucleotides long. Lineage: Eukaryota; Metazoa; Chordata; Actinopteri; Cichliformes; Cichlidae. The record is from Ensembl.
AGGGACAUCGAGGGGAAACAACACAGACGAACCAGCAACUAACAGAGGCAGACACGAGGUUUAAAUACACAGAAGGAUAACGAGGGAAUGAGACACAAAAGGAGGGCACAGCUGGGAGUAAUCAGACCUGACGAGACAGGGGAAUAGUAAACUGAACACACUGAGAUAAGACAGAGACUUUUAAAGUAAAACAGGAAACACAUGCACGUAAUGACACCGACUCAAAACGCAGACUAAACACAGGGAUACACUGGUAGGAAAGAAUGAACACUAACCGAGGAAGAACAGAACCAAAAUUACAAUAAUAGAAAACACAAAACGCUGGGUCAAAAGGACCCAGGAUCAUGACAGUACCCCCCCCUCAAGGGCUGGCCCCAGACAGCCCAAAACAAGAAAACCAAGAAACCCCCAAAAACAGAAAACAACCCGACCAGGGCGGGCGGUGGGGGCCCAGGAAGGAGGGCCCGAAGCCAAAACAAAAGAGGAGCACCAGAAAACACAACACGAGCCCAAAACCAAAAGAAGACAAAAAGGAAACACACCAGAGCACGGGAAAACAGGCCAAAACAGAACACCACAGGGGCUGGCCGUGAGGAUGGCGACGUGGACACAGUUCAGGGGGACGGCCAGGGGGCCGACAGCACCGGAGCCCAAACAGUUCAGGGGGCCGGCCGUGCGGACGGCAGCGGCGCCGACGCGGGCACAGUUCAGGGGGCCGGCCAUGAGGACGGCAGCGGCGCCGACGCGGGCACAGUUCAGGGGGCCGGCCGUGAGGACGGCAGCGGCGCCGACGCGGGCACAGUUCAGGGGGCCGGCCGUGAGGGAGGCAAUGGCGGCGACUCAGGCGAAGGCGGUCCGGGGGCCGCCCACGACGGCGAUGGCGCCUGGCCAGUGGCCUGGAAAGUGGCCAGUCGGCUGCAGACCCCGACGGGGUAGGACCAGGCGGCUGCAGACCCCGACGGGGUAGGACCAGGCAACGCCGAAGACUCGGAGGCUGGACCAGGCGACGCCGAAGACUCGGAGGCUGGACCAGGCGACGCCGAAGACUCGGAGGCUGGACCAGGCGAGGCUGAUGAGGCCGCAGGUGACGGCGUGGAAGCCGGAGACGAAGAGGCCGCAGGUGACGGCGUGGAAGCCGGAGACGAAGAGGCCGCAGGUGACGGCGUGGAAGCCGGAGACGAAGGCACUGCAGCUGGCGGCGUAGAUGGUGAGGCUGCCGCUGGCGUGGAUGGUGAAGCUGCAGCUGGCGGCGGCGUGGAAGCCGGAGGCGGUGGCGCUGCAGCUGGCGUGAAUGAAGAGGCUGCAGCUGGCGUGAAUGAAGAGGCCGCAGCUGGCGUGGAAGCCGGAGACGGAGGCGCUGCAGCUGGCGGCGGCGUGGACGCCGGAGACGGAGGCGCUGCAGCUGGCGGCGGCGUGGACGCCGGAGACGGAGGUGCUGCAGGCUGGACGGAUCCCUUGGACCCUCCAGCGACGACAGGAAGCAAAGGCCGGACGGAUCCCUUGGACCCUCCAGCGACGACAGGAAGCAAAGGCCGGAGCGGUCCUUCGGACCCUCCAGCGGAGACACGAGGCAAAGGCCGGAGCGGUCCUUCGGACCCUCCAGCGGAGACACGAGGCAAAGAGUCCACUAGCCGACAUAAAGACAGCUGGCAAUGCACUGAGCACUGGCUUUGCCCAGGCAACACUAACACGGAGGAGUUCUCUGAGGGCUGCUUAAUCCUCAGGGGUCCAGUAAUAGGUGGGGGGUGAAACCUAGCUUCUGGGGAGGCCCUGGAGUGCAUUACUUCGCUUGAAGCAGCUAAAGCGCAGGAAUCUCCCUGGGAGGAACUUAGACCUUCUCCCUGCAUGAAGUGAGUGUGUGAGACUGGUGGUCAAAGGAGUUUGCAAAGAAAAGCGUCUGGACUUCUUUGAGUUGCUUGAAGACGUUUCACC